UACGAAGGGUGCAAACGUUGCUCGGAAUUAUUGGGCGUAAAGAGCUCGUAGGCGGUUUGUCGCGUCUGCUGUGAAAACUGGAGGCUCAACCUCCAGCCUGCAGUGGGUACGGGCAAACUAGAGUGCGGUAGGGGAGAUUGGAAUUCCUGGUGUAGCGGUGGAAUGCGCAGAUAUCAGGAGGAACACCGAUGGCGAAGGCAGUUCUCUGGGCCGUAACUGACGCUGAGGAGCGAAAGCGUGGGGAGCGAACAGG
RNAcentral lists this ribosomal RNA (253 nucleotides) under uncultured bacterium. Its description in RNAcentral is "partial 16S ribosomal RNA". It matches the Rfam family "Bacterial small subunit ribosomal RNA", at positions 524 to 776 of the family's 1533-position model. The record is from RNAcentral.